AGGAAAGUGGGGGAUCGSAAGACCUCACGCUUUAGGAGCGGUCGAUAUYAGAUUAUGAUGGUGAGGUAAAGGCUUACYAUGGCGACGAUCUGUAUCUGGUCUGGGAUGAUCAGCCACACUGGGACUGAGACGCGGCCCAGACUUCUACGGGCWGUAGUGGGGAAUUUUGGACAAUGGGGGCAACUYCUGAUCYAAGUUUUCGCGUGAGUGAAGAAGGCCUUCGGGUUGUAAAGYUYUUUUGUUCGGGACGAAACGGUUAAGGUUAAUAAYYUUUGACUACUGACGGUAGGGUAACUACGUGCCA
This 304-nucleotide ribosomal RNA is filed under the name uncultured bacterium. RNAcentral describes it as "partial 16S ribosomal RNA". It matches the Rfam family "Bacterial small subunit ribosomal RNA", at positions 200 to 510 of the family's 1533-position model. The record is from RNAcentral.